RNAcentral lists this ribosomal RNA (425 nucleotides) under uncultured bacterium. RNAcentral's name for it is "bacterial SSU rRNA". It matches the Rfam family "Bacterial small subunit ribosomal RNA", at positions 356 to 773 of the family's 1533-position model. The record is from RNAcentral.
GGGGAAUUUUGGACAAUGGGCGCAAGCCUGAUCCAGCCAUGCCGCGUGCAGGAUGAAGGCCUUCGGGUUGUAAACUGCUUUUGUACGGAACGAAAAGACUCUUUCUAAUAAAGAGGGUCCAUGACGGUACCGUAAGAAUAAGCACCGGCUAACUACGUGCCAGCAGACGCGGUAAUACGUAGGGUGCGAGCGUUAAUCGGAAUUACUGGGCGUAAAGCGUGCGCAGGCGGUGAUGUAAGACAGAUGUGAAAUCCCCGGGCUCAACCUGGGAACUGCAUUUGUGACUGCAUCGCUGGAGUGCGGCAGAGGGGGAUGGAAUUCCGCGUGUAGCAGUGAAGUGCGUAGAUAUGCGGAGGAACACCGAUGGCGAAGGCAAUCCCCUGGGCCUGCACUGACGCUCAUGCACGAAAGCGUGGGGAGCAACC